UACGGGGGGGGCAAGCGUUGUUCGGAAUUACUGGGCGUAAAGGGCGCGUAGGCGGCCUGUUAAGUCGGACGUGAAAUCCCUCGGCUCAACCGGGGAACUGCGUCCGAUACUGGCGGGCUUGAAUUCGGGAGAGGGAUGUGGAAUUCCAGGUGUAGCGGUGAAAUGCGUAGAUAUCUGGAGGAACACCGGUGGCGAAGGCGGCAUCCUGGACCGACAUUGACGCUGAGGCGCGAAAGCCAGGGGAGCAAACGGG
This 253-nucleotide ribosomal RNA is filed under the name uncultured bacterium. Its description in RNAcentral is "partial 16S ribosomal RNA". It matches the Rfam family "Bacterial small subunit ribosomal RNA", at positions 524 to 776 of the family's 1533-position model. The record is from RNAcentral.